This 450-nucleotide ribosomal RNA is filed under the name uncultured bacterium. RNAcentral's name for it is "partial 16S ribosomal RNA". It matches the Rfam family "Bacterial small subunit ribosomal RNA", at positions 354 to 796 of the family's 1533-position model. The record is from RNAcentral.
GUGGGGAAUCUUCCACAAUGGACGAAAGUCUGAUGGAGCAACGCCGCGUGAGUGAAGAAGGGUUUCGGCUCGUAAAGCUCUGUUGUCGGGGACGAAUGUGCAGUAUUUGAAUAAAGUACUGUAAUGACGGUACCUGACGAGGAAGCCACGGCUAACUACGUGCCAGCAGCCGCGGUAAUACGUAGGUGGCAAGCGUUGUCCGGAAUUAUUGGGCGUAAAGGGAGCGCAGGCGGGAAGGUAAGUUGGUCUUAAAAGUGCGGGGCUCAACCCCGUGAUAGGAUCGAAACUAUCUUUCUUGAGUGCAGGAGAGGAAAGUGGAAUUCCUAGUGUAGCGGUGAAAUGCGUAGAUAUUAGGAGGAACACCAGUGGCGAAGGCGACUUUCUGGACUGUAACUGACGCUGAGGCUCGAAAGCCAGGGGAGCGAACGGGAUUAGAAACCCCUGUAGUCC